AUUGAACGCUGGCGGCAGGCCUAACACAUGCAAGUCGAACGAGUGGCGGACGGGUGAGUAAUGUCUGGGAAACUGCCCGAUGGAGGGGGAUAACUACUGGAAACGGUAGCUAAUACCGCAUACCAUCGGAUGUGCCCAGAUGGGAUUAGCUAGGAGGUGGGGUAACGGCUCACCUAGGCGACGAUCCCUAGCUGGUCUGAGAGGAUGACCGGCCACACUGGAACUGAGAAAAGGUCCAGACUCCUACGGGAGGCAGCAGGGGGGAAUAUUGCACAAAGGGCGCAAGCCUGAUGCAGCCAUGCCGCGGGUAUGAAGAAGGCCUUCGGGUUGUAAAGGACUUUCAGCGAGGAGGCGUUACUAGCAGAAGAAGCACCGGCUAACUCCGUGCCAGCGGCCGCGGUAAUAC
RNAcentral lists this ribosomal RNA (406 nucleotides) under uncultured bacterium. RNAcentral describes it as "partial 16S ribosomal RNA". It matches the Rfam family "Bacterial small subunit ribosomal RNA", at positions 29 to 526 of the family's 1533-position model. The record is from RNAcentral.